UACGUAGGGUGCAAGCGUUGUCCGGAAUUAUUGGGCGUAAAGAGCUCGUAGGCGGUCUGUCGCGUCUGCUGUGAAAACUCAGGGCUUAACCCUGAGCUUGCAGUGGGUACGGGCAGACUAGAGUGCGGUAGGGGAGACUGGAAUUCCUGGUGUAGCGGUGAAAUGCGCAGAUAUCAGGAGGAACACCGGUGGCGAAAGCGGGGCUCUGGGCCGUAACUGACGCUGAGGAGCGAAAGCAUGGGGAGCGAACAGG
Molecule: ribosomal RNA, 253 nt
Filed under: uncultured bacterium
Lineage: Bacteria
Description: partial 16S ribosomal RNA
Rfam family: Bacterial small subunit ribosomal RNA
Source: RNAcentral